CAGGCCUAACACAUGCAAGUCGAACGGGCACCUUCGGGUGUCAGUGGCAGACGGGUGAGUAACACGUGGGAACGUGCCCUUCGGUUCGGAAUAACUCAGGGAAACUUGAGCUAAUACCGGAUACGCCCUUACGGGGAAAGGUUUACUGCCGAAGGAUCGGCCCGCGUCUGAUUAGCUAGUUGGUGGGGUAAUGGCCUACCAAGGCGACGAUCAGUAGCUGGUCUGAGAGGAUGAUCAGCCACACUGGGACUGAGACACGGCCCAGACUCCUACGGGAGGCAGCAGUGGGGAAUAUUGGACAAUGGGCGCAAGCCUGAUCCAGCCAUGCCGCGUGAGUGAUGAAGGCCUUAGGGUUGUAAAGCUCUCUCGACGGGGACGAUAAUGACGGUACCCGUAGAAGAAGCCCCGGCUAACUUCGUGCCAGCAGCCGCGGUAAU
Molecule: ribosomal RNA, 437 nt
Filed under: uncultured bacterium
Lineage: Bacteria
Description: bacterial SSU rRNA
Rfam family: Bacterial small subunit ribosomal RNA
Source: RNAcentral